This 455-nucleotide long non-coding RNA is filed under the name Elaeis guineensis (African oil palm). RNAcentral describes it as "long non-coding RNA (EGUI_LNC082258)". The record is from RNAcentral. Lineage: Eukaryota; Viridiplantae; Streptophyta; Magnoliopsida; Arecales; Arecaceae.
AGACGAGCUCCACCAGCUGGAUCUCUACUCUGAACUUCUAUUACGAGCGGACUUCAUCCGAGCUUCUACAAUAAGAAGUCUCAAUCCGAGCUUCCACAGCAAUCGAUCUUCGUUCGAGCUCCUACAAGAGCCGAACUUCGUCCGAACUUCUACAGCAGAUGGAUCCCAGAUGAACUUCUACAAUGGACAGGCUCCACCAGUCGGAUCUCUACUCCGAACUUCUAUUACGAACGGACUUCAUCCGAGCUUCUACAAUAAGAAGUCUCCAUCCGAGCUUCCACGGCAACCGAUCUUCGUCCGAGCUUCUACAGUAAGCGGCCUCCUUUCGGACUCCUACAAGAAUCGGACUCCGUUCGAACUUCUAUAAUAGAAUUGAAUUCCAGACUCCUCCAGCAAUCAACCCUCCACAGUGUCCUCAAGACUCCUCCAGUAGAUGAACUUCCACAAUGCCUUCC